Molecule: ribosomal RNA, 429 nt
Filed under: Pseudomonadota bacterium
Lineage: Bacteria; Pseudomonadati; Pseudomonadota
Description: Proteobacteria bacterium partial 16S ribosomal RNA
Rfam family: Bacterial small subunit ribosomal RNA
Source: RNAcentral
UGGGGAAUAUUGGACAAUGGGCGAAAGCCUGAACCAGCCAUGCCGCGUGUGUGAAGAAGGUCUUCGGAUUGUAAAGCACUUUAAGUUGGGAGGAAGGGCAGUAAGCGAAUACCUUGCUGUUUUGACGUUACCGACAGAAUAAGCACCGGCUAACUCUGUGCCAGCAGCCGCGGUAAUACAGAGGGUGCAAGCGUUAAUCGGAAUUACUGGGCGUAAAGCGCGCGUAGGUGGUUCGUUAAGUUGAAUGUGAAAGCCCCGGGCUCAACCUGGGCACUGCAUCCAAAACUAGCGAGCUAGAGUAGGGCAGAGGGUGGUGGAAUUUCCUGUGUAGCGGUGAAAUGCGUAGAUAUAGGAAGGAACACCAGUGGCGAAGGCGACCACCUGGGCUCAUACUGACACUGAGGUGCGAAAGCGUGGGGAGCAAACAGG